This 1227-nucleotide ribosomal RNA is filed under the name metagenome. Its description in RNAcentral is "bacterial LSU rRNA". It matches the Rfam family "Bacterial large subunit ribosomal RNA", at positions 1564 to 2800 of the family's 2925-position model. The record is from RNAcentral.
UGAAUACGAGACGCUACGGCGUUGAAGCAGUGUAUGUCAUACUUCCAAGAAAAGCUCGCAAGGUCAUAAACAAAUAAUGCCUGUACCAUAACCGACACAGGUGGGUAGGUAGAGUAUACUAAGGGGCGCGAGAUAACUCUCUCUAAGGAACUCGGCAAAAUGACUCCGUAACUUCGGGAGAAGGAGUGCCUUAUUUUAUAAGGUUGCAAUAACAAGAUCCAAGCAACUGUUUAUCAAAAACACAGGUCUCCGCUAAGACGUAAGACGAUGUAUGGGGGCUGACGCCUGCCCAGUGCCAGAAGGUUAAAGAAGUUGGUUAGCAAUUGCAAAGCUGAUGACUGAAGCCCUGGUGAACGGCGGCCGUAACAAUAACGGUCCUAAGGUAGCGAAAUUCCUUGUCGGGUAAGUUCCGACCCGCACGAAAGGCGUAAUGAUUUGGAUACUGUCUCAGAGAGGGGCUCGGUGAAAUAGACUUGUCUGUGAAGAUGCGGACUACCUGCACCUGGACAGAAAGACCCUAUGAAGCUUUACUGUAACUUGAAAUUGAAACUGGACUUUACUUGCGCAGGAUAGGAGGGAGGCGUUGAGAGUAUUCUUGCGGGAAUAUUGGAGCCAUCGGUGAGAUACCACUCUUGUAAUGUUAGGUUUCUAACUUGGUAUCAUGAUCUGGUCCAAGAACAGUUUCAGGCGGGCAGUUUGACUGGGGCGGUCGCCUCCUAAACGGUAACGGAGGCGUACAAAGGUUUCCUCUGAACGGGUAGAAAUCGUAUCUAGAGUGUAAAGGCAUAAGGAAGCUUGACUGUGAGACCUACAAGUCGAGCAGGGACGAAAGUCGGUCUUAGUGAUCUGACGGUGCUGAGUGGAAAGGCCGUCACUCAACGGAUAAAAGUUACUCUAGGAUAACAGGCUGAUCUCCCCCAAGAGUUCACAUCGACGGGAAGGUUUGGCACCUCGAUGUCGGCUCAUCGCAUCCUGGGGCGGUAGUACGUCCCAAGGGUUGGGCUGUUCGCCCAUGAAAGCGGUACGCGAGCUGGGUUCAGAACGUCGUGAGACAGUUCGGCCCAUAUCCGGUGUAGGCGUUAGAAUAUUGAGAGGAGCCUUCUUUAGUACGAGAGGACCGAGAAGGACACACCUAUGGUGUACCAGUUAUCGUGCCAACGGUAAACGCUGGGUAGCUAUGUGUGGAGUGGAUAACCGCUGAAAGCAUCUAAGUGGGAAGCCCACCUC